Molecule: non-coding RNA, 146 nt
Filed under: uncultured Pelagophyceae
Lineage: Eukaryota; Pelagophyceae
Source: RNAcentral
UGGGACGCCUCCACGACAGACCUGUCAGACAAACCUCCUCGGGGAGCCGAGGGGGUUGCCUCUGUUAAUUCGUCCAGCAUCGAGUGAGGCCGGCAACGGAGCAGCUCUAUGGGGAGCACCUCUGAGCGUGGAGAUCACGUUUCAUU